RNAcentral lists this ribosomal RNA (63 nucleotides) under Alternaria phragmospora. RNAcentral's name for it is "partial 28S ribosomal RNA". Lineage: Eukaryota; Fungi; Ascomycota; Dothideomycetes; Pleosporales; Pleosporaceae. The record is from RNAcentral.
GUCCAGUAAGCCUUUUUUUCAACUUUUGACCUCGGAUCAGGUAGGGAUACCCGCUGAACUUAA